GAGUUUGAUCGUGGCUCAGGAUGAACGCUGGCGGCGUGCUUAACACAUGCAAGUCGAACGAAGCACUUUACUUGAUUUCCUUCGGGAAUGAUUGUUCUGUGACUGAGUGGCGGACGGGUGAGUAACGCGUGGAUAACCUGCCUCACACAGGGGGAUAACAGUUGGAAACGGCUGCUAAUACCGCAUAAGCGCACAGCACCGCAUGGUGCAGUGUGAAAAACUCCGGUGGUAUAAGAUGGACCCGCGUUGGAUUAGCUUGUUGGUGGGGUAACGGCUCACCAAGGCGACGAUCCAUAGCCGGCCUGAGAGGGUGAACGGCCACAUUGGGACUGAGACACGGCCCAGACUCCUACGGGAGGCAGC
This 363-nucleotide ribosomal RNA is filed under the name uncultured bacterium. Its description in RNAcentral is "bacterial SSU rRNA". It matches the Rfam family "Bacterial small subunit ribosomal RNA", at positions 9 to 352 of the family's 1533-position model. The record is from RNAcentral.